This 103-nucleotide small nuclear RNA is filed under the name Mustela putorius furo (domestic ferret). The record is from RNAcentral. Lineage: Eukaryota; Metazoa; Chordata; Mammalia; Carnivora; Mustelidae.
GUGCUCACUUUGGCAGCACAUAUACUAAAAUUGGGAAAUACAGAGAUUAGGAUGGCCCCUGUGUAAAGAUGACAGGCAAAUUUGUGAAGUGUUCCAAAAUUUU